CCUCCCCUCCACUCCAAAGAGGACAGGAGCCUCCAAGCCCCCAGGACAUCUUCUGGGCCACACAGGUCGAGAGGAUACCUCGGGAACUACUGGACCUGAAAUGUCAAAUCACCCUGCAGAGGUGUCAACUGAUAUUUCUCCAGCUCGGGUCCUUCGGCAGCUCUACCCACCAUUUGCUCCUUCUCACGUGGGCGCAGAGAGUCAGGAAGUGGCAGACAGAUGCUUCUUCGAGGGGCUGUGCAGCAAAGGCCUCUGGACCUCUCUUCCCCUCAGAAGAGACUAUGACAGCAGCAGAGAACAUGAAAGCUGAAAAAUGGGUCGAAGGAACCAAGGAGAAAACCUAUCCAUUUUACAGAAGGGGAAACUGAGAUUCAGACCCAGUAGCAGACCAGGGUGGAGAAUCUGGGCCUUGGGGCUCUGAUCUAGGGCUGUCCUCUGCUGGGAAUCCCCUAUGCACCCCCAGCUCUCCCUCUGGGCCUCAGGAAACGCAGCAUCAGCCCUGGUCCUCCCUUCCCUGGGGAGCAGAGCCACUUGGUGACCAAAAGGGGUCUCUCCAUACCUCCCACGCCCCUGGCCUCUGCCCAGUCUGCCUCCUCCUCCCCAAUCCCCCCCAGGACAUAGCCUGAAGAAGUGUUUGUACCUAAACAGUAUUUCCAGGGCAACUUGCAUUCCCCAGGGGGUGGGUGGUGAGAGGCUUGGGGGAGGAACUCCUCCAGCUGCCACAGGCCCUGUGACCCGCAGCCCCUCUCGGUUAAUGGGACUUGGGGCCUAAGAGCUGGUCUUACCCUUGAUCUUGGAGAGGGCCUGAGGAUGGAUGCAUGAACCACACGGCUUCCUUCUAUAAUGCAUCCUUCAUGGAUGAAGUGUGUGAGUGGGCGGGGACAGAGCCCAAAAGUUUCCUGAGCCCAACAAGGAACAGCAGCCCCCAGGGUACCCCUUUUCUUCUCCUGCUCCUCAGCGAGGGUGUCAAAGCCGAGAC
This 979-nucleotide long non-coding RNA is filed under the name Macaca mulatta (Rhesus monkey). RNAcentral describes it as "lncRNA (ENSMMUG00000054457.1)". The record is from RNAcentral. Lineage: Eukaryota; Metazoa; Chordata; Mammalia; Primates; Cercopithecidae.